This 313-nucleotide unclassified non-coding RNA is filed under the name plant metagenome. RNAcentral describes it as "partial contains 5.8S ribosomal RNA, internal transcribed spacer 2, and large subunit ribosomal RNA". The stretch from base 1 to 104 matches the Rfam family "5.8S ribosomal RNA", at positions 51 to 154 of the family's 154-position model. The record is from RNAcentral.
AAAUGCGCUAAUUAAUGUGAAUUGCAGAAUUCAGUGAAUCAUCGAGUCUUUGAACGCACAUUGCGCCCCCUGGUAUUCCGGGGGGCAUGCCUGUCCGAGCGUCAUUGCUGCCCUCAAGCACGGCGUGUGUGUUGGGCUUCCGUCCCUGGCAACGGGGACGGGCCCAAAAGGCAGUGGCGGCACCAUGUCUGGUCCUCGAGCGUAUGGGGCUUUGUCACCCGCUCCCGUAGGUCCAGCUGGCAGCUAGCCUCGCAACCAAUCUUUUUAACCAGGUUGACCUCGGAUCAGGUAGGGAUACCCGCUGAACUUAAGC